RNAcentral lists this ribosomal RNA (253 nucleotides) under uncultured bacterium. Its description in RNAcentral is "partial 16S ribosomal RNA". It matches the Rfam family "Bacterial small subunit ribosomal RNA", at positions 524 to 776 of the family's 1533-position model. The record is from RNAcentral.
UACGUAGGGUGCGAGCGUUCAUCGGAAUUACUGGGCGUAAAGCGUGCGUAGGCGGUUUUGUAAGUCAGAUGUGAAAUCCCCGGGCUUAACCUGGGAACUGCGUUUGAAACUACAGAGCUAGAGUGUGGCAGAGGGGGGUGGAAUUCCACGUGUAGCAGUGAAAUGCGUAGAUAUGUGGAGGAACACCGAUGGCGAAGGCAACCCCCUGGGCCGACACUGACGCUGAGGCACGAAAGCGUGGGGAGCAAACAGG